AUUGAACGCUGGCGGAAUGCUUUACACAUGCAAGUCGAGCGGCAGCGCGGGGGCAACCCUGGCGGCGAGCGGCGAACGGGUGAGUAAUGUAUCGGAACGUACCCAGUCGUGGGGGAUAACUAUCCGAAAGGAUAGCUAAUACCGCAUACGACCUGAGGGUGAAAGCGGGGGAUCGCAAGACCUCGCGCUAUUGGAGCAGCCGAUGCCCGAUUAGGUAGUUGGUGGGGUAAAAGCCUACCAAGCCGACGAUCGGUAACUGGUCUGAGAGGACGACCAGUCACACUGGGACUGAGACACGGCCCAGACUCCUACGGGAGGCAGCAGUGGGGAAUUUUGGACAAUGGGGGAAACCCUGAUCCAGCAAUGCCGCGUGUGUGAAGAAGGCC
This 386-nucleotide ribosomal RNA is filed under the name uncultured bacterium. RNAcentral's name for it is "bacterial SSU rRNA". It matches the Rfam family "Bacterial small subunit ribosomal RNA", at positions 29 to 416 of the family's 1533-position model. The record is from RNAcentral.